Molecule: ribosomal RNA, 252 nt
Filed under: uncultured bacterium
Lineage: Bacteria
Description: partial 16S ribosomal RNA
Rfam family: Bacterial small subunit ribosomal RNA
Source: RNAcentral
UACGUAGGGGGCUAGCGUUAUCCGGAAUUACUGGGCGUAAAGGGUGCGUAGGUGGUUUCUUAAGUCAGAGGUGAAAGGCUACGGCUCAACCGUAGUAAGCCUUUAAAACUGGGGAACUUGAGUGCAGGAGAGGAGAGUGGAAUUCCUAGUGUAGCGGUGAAAUGCGUAGAUAUCAGGAGGAACACCAGUUGCGAAGGCGGCUCUCUGGACUGUAACUAACACUGAGGCACGAAAGCGUGGGGAGCAAACAGG